RNAcentral lists this ribosomal RNA (431 nucleotides) under uncultured bacterium. RNAcentral describes it as "partial 16S ribosomal RNA". It matches the Rfam family "Bacterial small subunit ribosomal RNA", at positions 29 to 507 of the family's 1533-position model. The record is from RNAcentral.
AACGAACGCUGGCGGCAGGCUUAACACAUGCAAGUCGAGCGCCCCGCAAGGGGAGCGGCAGACGGGUGAGUAACGCGUGGGAACGUACCUUUUGGUUCGGAACAACUCCGGGAAACUGGAGCUAAUACCGGAUAAGCCCUAACGGGGAAAGAUUUAUCGCCGAAAGAUCGGCCCGCGUCUGAUUAGCUAGUUGGUGAGGUAACGGCUCACCAAGGCGACGAUCAGUAGCUGGUCUGAGAGGAUGAUCAGCCACACUGGGACUGAGACACGGCCCAGACUCCUACGGGAGGCAGCAGUGGGGAAUAUUGGACAAUGGGCGCAAGCCUGAUCCAGCCAUGCCGCGUGAGUGAUGAAAGCCUUAGGGUUGUAAAGCUCUUUUGUCCGGGAAGAUAAUGACUGUACCGGAAGAAUAAGCCCCGGCUAACUUCGUG